AUGACAACAAAGUCAAGGGAAGAUCAUGGAGUGAGAGGAAAAGAAAUCCUCAUUAAGACCUUGCACCAAAAAUUGGCUAUGAGAGAAGUGGUCACCAUGUGCAAAGGAAAGCAUUGUUUCAUAGAUGCUUCAUUCCUAGGACCUGAAGGAGUGAAACUUCCACCUAAGAUGUGAAGGCUCUAAGCAGACAUCGCUGCUCCAGGUGACAUGUAGUACUUGAGGGUCCAACUCCAGCAAUCCAGGACAGUGCCAGGAAAGAGAAAAAGACUAGGACCCUGGGUGGAGGAGAAGGAGACCCAAGGGAAAAGAAGGAAAGUCCUAGAUGUCUGUCUGAGGAAGAACCUGGGCUAAAAGGUGACUCAAUAUGAAAAGCAAAGAAAUGUUUUGCACCACAGACCUGUGCCUCACACUCAAGGUAGCAAAUCAGCACCUACUGUUAACACAAUAAAGGCAAAUCACAGAAGCA
RNAcentral lists this long non-coding RNA (466 nucleotides) under Sus scrofa (pig). RNAcentral describes it as "lncRNA (ENSSSCG00050003486.1)". Lineage: Eukaryota; Metazoa; Chordata; Mammalia; Artiodactyla; Suidae. The record is from RNAcentral.